This 301-nucleotide ribosomal RNA is filed under the name uncultured bacterium. Its description in RNAcentral is "partial 16S ribosomal RNA". It matches the Rfam family "Bacterial small subunit ribosomal RNA", at positions 509 to 807 of the family's 1533-position model. The record is from RNAcentral.
CAGCAGCCACGGUAACACGGAGGGUGCAAGCGUUAAUCGGAAUUACUGGGCGUAAAGCGCACGCAGGCGGUCUGACAAGUCAGAUGUGAAAUCCCCGGGCUUAACCUGGGAACUGCAUUUGAAACUGUCAGGCUGGAGUCUUGUAGAGGGGGGUGGAAUUCCAGGUGUAGCGGUGAAAUGCGUAGAGAUCUGGAGGAAUACCGGUGGCGAAGGCGGCCCCCUGGACAAAGACUGACGCUCAGGUGCGAAAGCGUGGGGAGCAAACAGGAUUAGAUACCCGUGUAGUCCCUGUCUCUUAUAC